UUUUUCUCCUAUUCUUUUCUCCUCUGGUUUUUUUUGCUGUACACGACGAUUAACAAGUGCAAGUCAACAAAUAUCAAUUGCUAAAUCACCAAUAUGAAAAAAUUUUACAAACCAAUUCCUAAACCAACGCCACACUCCAAUAUCGAUGAUCAACCACGGGAUCCAGCUAACACCAAUGUUGAUGAUCAACCACUGGAUCCAGCUAACACCAAUGUCGAUGAUCAACCAUUGGAUCCAGAUAACACCAAUGUCGAUGAUCUGCCUUGGGAUCCAGCUAAGAGAAAAGAGAUAGUGAGUUAUCAUCCGAAUCAAAGAGACGAGGUAAGACGCAAAUAUCUUGUUAGAGGUCCAUGUCAACCUUCUGGUCAUUCUUUUAAAAGAACAAAGAUGAGUAAUGCAACAAGACGAUUUAAUCCAGCUUGGUUUGAAAAAUACGGUACUUGGCUAGAGUAUAGUGUAUCAACAGACAGAGCUUUUUGUUUGUGUUGCUACUUAUUUAAAGGUGACGGACGGAACCAAGGUGAGAGUGAUGCAUUUGUGAAAGAAGGGUUUUGUCUCUGGAAUAAGCCUGAAAGGUUAGAAACUCACAUAGGCGGAAACUCAAUAUGAAAGGUGAAUUUAAUGGCUUGAGAGCAUUGGUUGUUAGAGAAAACAAUGCAGCAUAUUAUGUUCAUUGUUUUGCUCAUCAACUUCAGUUGGUGGUGGUGGCAAUCGCAAAAAAACACUUUGAGGUUGGUGAUUUUUUUGAUAUGAUUUCUACAUUGGUGAAUGUGGUUGGAGCUUCUUGUAAAAGACAAGACAUGAUUCGAGAAACUUAUCGAAAAAAGGUGCAGGAAGGAAUUAGUAGUGGUGAGAUUAACACGGGUACUGGAUUAAAUCAAGAAAUUUCGCUACAAAGACCUGGAAAUACUCGUUGGGGUUCUCAUCAGAGAACAUUGCAAAGGUUAGUUGAGUUGUUUUCUUCUAUCAUUGAAGUUCUUGAGUAUAUCCAAAAUGAAGGCGUCGAAGACUCUAAAAAACGUCAAGCAUAUGGUCUUCUCAAGUACUUUCACACUUUUGAUUGUGUGUUCUAUAUGCAACUUAUGCUACUUAUUUUGGGAUUAACUGAGAAUUUGUCAAUGGCUUUGCAAAGGAAAGACCAAGAUAUUUUGAAUGCCAUGUCAUUGGUGGAAUCUACUAAGAGAGAAUUACAGAAGCUUAGAGAUGAUGGAUGGGAUUCACUUAUGAAUAAAGUUUCAUCUUUUUGUGAGAAACAUAAUGCUGAACUGCUUGUCAUGUAAGACGUUUUUGUAGAUCCAAGGAAACCAAGAAGAAAAACCAAUAUAACCAACCUACAUCAUUAUAAGGUUAACUGCUUCUACACUAUUAUAGAUUUACAGCUUCAGGAGUUCAAUGAUCGUUUUACGGAGAUGACUUCAGCUAUGGGGAGGUUUUGUCUCUUGAGCAGCAUCUUGAUAUCUACAUUGACAAUGUGAGCAGAGAUGAACGAUUUAAGAGUCUGAAAAGUCUUGGAGAGCUUUCCCGUUUGAUGGUGAAAACCCAAAAACAUCUUGCACAUCCCUUGGUUUAUAGGCUUUUGAAAUUAGUUCUAACUUUACCAGUUGCUACAGCAAGUGUUGAGAGAUGUUUUUCUGCAAUGAAAUUGGUGAAUACAGCUGCACGGAAUAGAAUUGGAGACCAAUUUCUAAGUGAUUGUCUUGUUUGCUAUAUUGAAAAAGAAUUAUUUGAAGCGGUCACAAAUGAAAAUGUGAUAAAAAGGUUUCAAUUGUUAAAUGAG
Long non-coding RNA from Capsella rubella, 1777 nucleotides. RefSeq lists it as uncharacterized. The transcript has 3 exons. The record is from RefSeq and is a predicted model, not a curated record. NCBI's taxonomy places the organism in Eukaryota, Viridiplantae, Streptophyta, Magnoliopsida, Brassicales, Brassicaceae.